UCUGCUGUGUGACUCUCAAGAGAAGCUGUCCAGAGCUGUAUGUAGAGUGAUAUGUCACAAGAGUUCACCAUGAAGACUCCACCUUGUGAAACUGCAGAUAUACAUGGAAGGAGAGAGCCUAAAUUAAGAUGACUGAAAAAGGAGCUCUGCUAACUAGCAGCCACACAGGGAAGUGUUUUCCUGGGUCAGCAGACAAAGAUGCCAGCAGUGCCUACCAGCCUCAGGAGUGAGUGGUGACUGGAUGACUGACCUCAGAACUGCUGGAUUGCAAGCAGCAAAAGGCUCCCAGCUACUGUAGUCAGUGAACAGCUUUGGGGAAGAAGAAGGUCUCUGGAUAAAAGAAAUUCCUGAUGGUGAACUUGGACAUGUUCCUGGGCUGACAGAGAGCCAGUGUUCGUCUCUAUGCCUCCUGACUGUAGAAGCCAUGUGACCAGUCACCUCACACCUCUGCUGCCAUGAUGGAUUACAUUCUCAAACUGAGUUCAAACUACCCCUUCCUUUCCUUCUUACAUUGCUUUUGUCAAGCAUUUUGUCACAGCAGAGACAGAAGGAACAAGAAGCUAGCAGUAGCUACUCAGGAUCCACCAGACUCCUCAAAGGCAGAUACAUGUCAAGAAUAGUGUGGCAAUGGUGUUCUUAAAGACUCUUUAGAGAUGACCCACUACUGCCAGGGACUAGGUGAGGCCCAGAGAACCUAAACCAGAAGCUACAGGUUACAGAGCUGACCUGUUUCUAAGUCUCUGUUUGCUGAGAACAAAAUCAUCUUUGUCUUUCCAUAAUAGUUUAUGUUUUGAAAUUUUCAUAGAAGUAUUUAAUGCAUUUUAAUCUUAUCCACUCCACACCACCUCCCUCCAAUACCCUUGGGGCCCAUCAACAUAUCUCCCACUUGAGUUCAUGGUCUUUAAAAAGAAUAUUAUUAAUAGCUCCAGAGUCUAAUUAGUGCUGUUUGGAAAUGAUUGUGGGAACAUUUACAGGGGCAUGGGCAGUCUCCUACAGCCUCGACCCCAAGAAAAGUGACUUUUUCCUCAGCAGCUAUGAACUUCCAGUAGUUCUCCCAGCAAGGCUGGGCCUGGACAGCACUUUCCUGUCCAUGAGAAUUUUUACUGACAGAGUUUUAAGCAGGCAACCACAGCUACUUCCUGUGACUUAGUGUGCAAAAGGCAGUGUUUCACAGCUCUCCUCCUUGUCCUCCAGCUCUUAACAUUCUUUCAACCCCUCUGCUCUGGUGUCUUUGGACCCUAGAAUUGAGGUGUGGGCUUGAUGCAGAUGACUCAUGACUGAUUCUCUGUUGAAAUAUGAGCGGCGGGGCUGCGUCCCCAACACCCCGGCCGCUUGGCUAGCUCAUGCCCGAAAUAACAACACACAAACUGUAUUCAUUUAAGAACUGCUUGGCCCAUGAACUCUAGCCCUUACAGGCUAAUUCUCGCACCUGGACUAGCCCAUUUCUAAUAAUGUG
This is a long non-coding RNA of Alexandromys fortis (reed vole), 1456 nucleotides long. RefSeq lists it as uncharacterized. The record is from RefSeq and is a predicted model, not a curated record. The transcript is spliced from 3 exons. Lineage: Eukaryota; Metazoa; Chordata; Mammalia; Rodentia; Cricetidae.